ACGCUCGACACCUACGGGGGCAGCAGUGGGGAAUAUUGCACAAUGGGGGAAACCCUGAUGCAGCGACGCCGCGUGGAGGAAGAAGGUCUUCGGAUUGUAAACUCCUGUUGUUGGGGAAAAAGAGGAUGGUACCCAACAAGGAAGUGACGGCUAACUACGUGCCAGCAGCCGCGGUAAUCUGAGCGGGCUGGCAAGGC
RNAcentral lists this ribosomal RNA (197 nucleotides) under uncultured bacterium. Its description in RNAcentral is "partial 16S ribosomal RNA". It matches the Rfam family "Bacterial small subunit ribosomal RNA", at positions 328 to 539 of the family's 1533-position model. The record is from RNAcentral.